Molecule: ribosomal RNA, 468 nt
Filed under: uncultured bacterium
Lineage: Bacteria
Description: partial 16S ribosomal RNA
Rfam family: Bacterial small subunit ribosomal RNA
Source: RNAcentral
GACGAACGCUGGCGGCGUGCUUAACACAUGCAAGUCGAACGGAAAGGCCCUGCUUUUGUGGGGUGCUCGAGUGGCGAACGGGUGAGUAACACGUGAGUAACCUGCCCUUGACUUUGGGAUAACUUCAGGAAACUGGGGCUAAUACCGGAUAGGAGCUCCUGCUGCAUGGUGGGGGUUGGAAAGUUUCGGCGGUUGGGGAUGGACUCGCGGCUUAUCAGCUUGUUGGUGGGGUAGUGGCUUACCAAGGCUUUGACGGGUAGCCGGCCUGAGAGGGUGACCGGCCACAUUGGGACUGAGAUGCGGCCCAGACUCCUACGGGAGGCAGCAGUGGGGGAUAGUGCACAAUGGGCGGAAGCCGGAUGCAGCAACGCCGCGUGCGGGAUGACGGCCUUCGGGUUGUAAACCGCUUUCGCCUGUGACGAAGCGUGAGUGACGGUAAUGGGUAAAGAAGCACCGGCUAACUACGUG